GACGAACGCUGGCGGCGUGCUUAACACAUGCCAGUCGAACGGAAAGGCCCCCACUUUUUUGGUGGGGGUGCUCGAGUGGCGAACGGGUGAGUAACACGUGGGUGAUCUGCCCUGUACUUCGGGAUAAGCUUGGGAAACUGGGUCUAAUACCGGAUAGGACCAUGGUUUAGUGUCUCAUGGUGGAAGAAUUAUUGUUUUGGUGCAGGAUGAGCUCGCGGCCUAUCAGCUUGUUGGUGGGGUAAUGGCCUACCAAGGCGUCGACGGGUAGCCGGCCUGAGAGGGUGGACGGCCACAUUGGGACUGAGAUACGGCCCAGACUCCUACGGGAGGCAGCAGUGGGGAAUAUUGCACAAUGGGCGCAAGCCUGAUGCAGCGACGCCGCGUGGGGGAUGACGGCCUUCGGGUUGUAAACUCCUUUCGUUAGGGACGAAGCCGCACCUUUUUUGGGUGUGGUGACGGUACCUUUGUUAAGAAGCACCGGCUAACUACGUG
Molecule: ribosomal RNA, 492 nt
Filed under: uncultured bacterium
Lineage: Bacteria
Description: partial 16S ribosomal RNA
Rfam family: Bacterial small subunit ribosomal RNA
Source: RNAcentral